GUACACGUUAAAUUUGGCACCAUCCGUGUGGUGCGGGAGGGAAGAUUAGAGAAGUGUGUUAUUGUGGAAGUGGAAGAAGACUCUGAAUCUCCUCCGAUCUCUCAUUCCACUGUUUCGUUCUCGAUUUUCGCUUUCAAACUUUAGAGUCAGCUCCACCGGCUUAAGGUAUCCUCAGAGUUACUCAAGAGGGUGUGAAGGCUACUCAACCUCCUCCUGAAAUGGCCUCUAGGGAAACUGUAAAGAAAGAGAUUCGACAAAUGCUAGAAGAUGACAGUGUAACAUCAAUCAUUCUUCUUGGGGAACAGGGAGUAGGGAAGACGUGGAUGGCAAAGGAGAUAAGCGAGAUCUGCAUGACUGAGGGCUUAACACAUAGAAAUCUCUGGGUAUAUCUAAACAAGAAGUAUCAUAGUAAGACUCUUCUUGAGAGCAUCGAGCGUCAAUUGUCUCUACUCUCUAAUGAGGAGUUUGAAGAUGAUGAGGAAGAAAAGGAAGAGACUUUGGAAAAUUUGAAACUCAGAAUUUCUACAAUGCUUGAAGAAGAGGCAACUGCAAUGAAAGAAAAAACACAAUUUGUUCUACUAAUUCUAGAUGAUGUUUUGGAAGAUCAUGCAAAAGAUAUUCUGUCAGAUCUUCCGGUUAAGGGUCAUCCGCAUAAGUUCUUUAAGGUUCUUAUGACCAUAGGCAAAACUCAUCACCAACUUGCUUCUGAAGUAUUCAAGAAUGAGAUUGAGAGCAACAACAGAAGGCUGCAUCAGAUGGAAUUCUUGUCUCCGGAUGAGUCAGAGAAUUUGUUGAAGGAAAAAAUCAAGGCAGACCAUGUCUUUCCUCAUUUGGAUCAACAUAUUGCAACCAUGAAAAAUGAGAUAAAUAAAGGUAUCCCUGCAACAAUAAUUACCAUCGCAGAAGCCUUGAAGUACCUUCAAAAGCAUGACUCUGGGGCUAGUCUGUUGGAAGGUAUUCUCGAAGAAGCAGGCAAUGAUGGGAAAGAAGCUGACUACAUAACUCAGCUACUAUGUUGUUGGUAUGAUGAGUUUCACAAGUCGUGUAGGAUCGAUAUGCUUCACUGCUUCUGGCAUAGUAUGCAACAUUUUCAUACCCAUAGCGGGGUGCAUUACAAUGAAUUGAUCACGCACUGGAUAAUAGAAGGAUAUUUUGGAUGCUUUGAUCAAAUUCAGAAGGCAUAUGAGCAAGGACAUGAAGUUCUAAUGCAUCUCAUCAAUUGUGGGAUGCUGAGCAAGCAAGAGGAUAAUAUAGUUAUCAUGAAUCAAGCAAUUUCUCGUAUAACUCAUCAUCGCCAUUCUGUAUUCAAUAAAACUGCAAGCCUCGGUCUGCCUAUUGUUUUCGAUGGUAAGGAUGACAAAUGGGAAGGAUUAGGGAGGAUAACACAAACAAGUGGUAUGAGAAAAUCACUCCACGGUCAUAAAAACUGGGAGAAAGUCUCUACACUCCUGAUGGAUGGAAGUUUUCUCUCUAGGGAAGUUCCGGAAACAUUUUUUCAGCCCUUGCGGGGACUUCAAGUUUUUGCCAUAUUCAAUCCCCUGUUCAGUUUUCUGCCCUUGCCCCUGUUGAGUCUUGAGAACCUUGUUGUACUGGUGCUUAGAGGGUGUGAUCUCCUGGAGAAAAUUGAUGAUAUCUGUGAACUUAGAAACUUAUGUGUUCUUGAGAUAUCUAGUGCUGCUUCGUUGAAUGCAAUCCCUCCUGAUCUCUUUGAGAACUUGCCUAACCUUCAAGUCCUUAAUCUAUCUUCAAGCAAGAUAGAAUCAUUGCCUCGUUCUCUUUUUAAGCAACCUAAAUUGCGUCAGCUUAUCCUUAGACAAUGUCAUCGCUUGAAAGCACUCCCAAGCCUUAAAGAGCUUGAAAAUCUUGAGGUAAUUGAUCUUUGCGGUGCUGACUCUUUAAUCAAAAUCCAGGACAAAAAUUUUGCACCAUUAAGAAAACUUCAGAUGCUUGAUCUUUCCAAAUCCAAAAUUGAUCGUUUACCUUUUCUUCACAAUCUUGAAAAGCUCACUGGACUCAUGCUAAGUGACUGUCCAUCCCUGACAAGACUGCCCAGCCUGCAAUCAUUAUGUAGCCUUCAAAUUCUUGAUGCUUCAAAUGCUAGAAACUUGGUGGAAAUUCAUGAUGACCCGUUCGAUAAUAAGGUUGACCUUCAAAUCGUUGAUUUAUCUGGAACUGCAGUUAGGCAACUACCUUCCAACAUAAGCUACCUGUCUUCUCUCUACUUGAAAGAUUGUUCUUCAUUUGAAAUAUUGCCAUCCACAAAAGCAUUGAAAAACCUCAAGAAACUGGAUCUUUCUGGUACCAGUGAACUGCAUGAAAUUGAAGACAAAUCCUUUGAACAUCUUAGGUACCUUCAAAUUCUUAACUUUUCAAAAGCCAAGAUAAAAGAAUUACCAUCCCUUUCAAACCUUGGUAACCUUCUUGAGAUCUUUCUAACAAAUUGUUCAAAUUUGCAAAAGCUUCCCAUCUUGAAUGGACUUAAAAGACUUAAGAAGCUCUACCUUUCUGGUUGUGUAGAGUUGGUUGAGUUGCCAUCCCUAAAUGCUCUUGAAAAACUAGAGGACCUCGACCUUUCAGGUUGUAGAGCUCUGGAAGUUAUACAAGCUAACUCUUUUGAGAAAAUGAUUGGCCUUCGGAUCCUCAACCUCUCUGAAACUAAAAUUAAGUCCUUACCAACCCUUUGCAACCCAAGCAACCUCAGUCACCUCAUACUUCAGAACUGCAUUGGCUUAAAAAUACUUUCACCCCUUGAACAUCUCACAAAACUUGAGGAGCUUGUUCUAUGUGGUGCAUGCUCCUUAGAAGAAACUAAGGCUCAAUUCUUGGAAGGUAUGAAGGACCUUCAAAUUCUUGAUUUAUCAGGAACCCCACUUACAACUCUACCAUCCUUGUCAAACCUCACCAACCUCAGGAAGCUCACACUAAGAGGUUGUUCGGGCUUAAAGACGGUGCCAGGUAUGGAAGCCUUAAAAAAUCUUGAGCAUAUUGAUCUCUGUGGAACGGCAAUUGAAAGGUUGCCAUCCCUAAAUAUUUACUGCAGGCUCCACCAGCUUCUAUUGAAAGAUUGCUCAAACUUAGAAGAGUUGCAGAAUCUUAAUUCACUUACUCAACUGGAGGUUCUUGAUCUUUCAGGAACCAGAAUAAAGAAAUUUCCUUAUGAGAUAUCAGAGUUAACUUGUCUGGAGCGUCUUGAUUUGCCAGACUUGAAGGAUGUGCUUGAAAUUGACUUGGGAAAGAUAAAGUAUCUACCAAAAGAGUUAAACUGGGAUCAAUGUGGCCUCUUCAAGGAUACUGCUAAACUUGUGAAGUGUGAGAAGCCUACCAUAUUUGUAAGAGGUAAAGAAAUUUUCCAGUGUUUGGAGAAAAGUCCUGAAUUAUGGAAUAAAUAUUUCAAGCAAUUUCAUUUCGUUGUUGGUCAUCAUAUGAAGCAAGAUGAAGAUGGAGAUAUCAAUUUUUCCAAAGAUAGACUUUUCUUUAGAGAUGUCUAUUUUCAUACUAGAUAUUUCUGUAUUCCUGUUGAAGAUGUCCAGCUUUUGGAAAUCCAUGGAUCAUAUAUCCUUCCCAAUGGUUUUGAAAGUGUCCUUAAGCACACCAAAUACUUGUCUUUGGUUGAUAACAAGUCUAUAAGUCGCUUAUCAAAAUUAGGUGCCCACAAUGUAGCAGAAAUGAGAGGCUACUGGAUAGAUAGAUGUACCAAAAUGGAAAGCAUUCUUGAUGGAGAAGAGGUGGACAUCAGACUUGGGAGCAAUUUAGAGAUUUUAUGGGUCUCAAACCUUCCUAGUUUGAAGAAUAUAUACAGUGGAACUGAGGGCUUCAAAAACCUCAAACAUUUAUAUCUGGAUUGUUGUCCAGUGAUUCUAAAUGUUUUUUCCUCUUCACAAUUUCCGGAAAACCUCGAAAUUGUUCAUGUAAAGUUUUGUGAUAAAUUGGACACUUUGUUUGAAUCUGGGACUAUGGAAGGGCGUAAAUUGCAGAAGUUACACACGUUGUAUCUAUUCGAACUGCCAGAGUUGAGGAGUAUUGGGAUACAAUUGGCAUGUCAACCAACUAUUAGGGCAUGUCCCAAGCUGGUAUUGGAUCAAGUUGACUCAAAGAACCAUAAAGGUUUUGAAAUUUAAAUUGCGGAGUAAGCGAGACCCUGAAGUUGCUGAUUUUGUUUUUUUUUUUUUUUUUUUUUUUGGGUGUCUCGUUGUAUGUAAACUUGCAGCAUCUUGUUAUGUGUGGAAGAAGCAUUUUGCUUCAUUCUUAUGCAUUUUGUGUGUCACUGCACUAGAAAUAUCUACUUCAUAAGUGUGGAUUGGCUGGAUUUGGUAAUUGGAAAUGUGAUGUUAAAGAGAUGCCGAGAAGACUAGUCAGGCGAUGAAUCUUCAACUUGGAUGAACAAAAGAACAAUGUUGCAUCUUGUGAUUUCUAGCACCAGUUGAAUGGAGAAUAAAAAAUUGAUGUUAUAGCUUUGAUAUUUUCGUUGUGUCAAGUAAGCAAAGUUUAUGUGCAUGUUUAAGGUGGUGAGGUUGGUUGGGGCCCUUGGGGGAUGGAGUUGAGAGUUGUUUUGGGACUAAGGACAUAUUUCUGUGUCUACAAUAGGUAUAUUAAGCAUGGAACUACUGAUUCCCAAUAAAGUAAGGAAGCCAUAGGAUUUAUGGAACCUCCGUAGUGUUUUGUGAGCCUUGUACUACAGGUUUUCAUAUAUUAUGAAAGAUUAUAUUUAAAAUAAGUCUAUGACGGUCCAAUGGUAAGCCAUUUUUUAUUUGAAUAGUGCUAAUCCUCCACCCCAAUGUAAAGAAUGCAUAUAUAGUUGUUAAAU
Ziziphus jujuba (common jujube) is the source of this 4804-nucleotide RNA transcript. It is a transcript of the gene named putative disease resistance protein At4g19050, with no coding region annotated. NCBI's taxonomy places the organism in Eukaryota, Viridiplantae, Streptophyta, Magnoliopsida, Rosales, Rhamnaceae. The transcript is spliced from 4 exons. The record is from RefSeq and is a predicted model, not a curated record.